RNAcentral lists this ribosomal RNA (492 nucleotides) under uncultured bacterium. RNAcentral describes it as "partial 16S ribosomal RNA". It matches the Rfam family "Bacterial small subunit ribosomal RNA", at positions 29 to 507 of the family's 1533-position model. The record is from RNAcentral.
AGUGAACGCUGGCGGUAGGCCUAACACAUGCAAGUCGAACGGCAGCACAGUAAGAGCUUGCUCUUACGGGUGGCGAGUGGCGGACGGGUGAGGAAUACAUCGGAAUCUACUUUUUCGUGGGGGAUAACGUAGGGAAACUUACGCUAAUACCGCAUACGACCUACGGGUGAAAGCAGGGGAUCUUCGGACCUUGCGCGAUUGAAUGAGCCGAUGUCGGAUUAGCUAGUUGGCGGGGUAAAGGCCCACCAAGGCGACGAUCCGUAGCUGGUCUGAGAGGAUGAUCGGCCACACUGGAACUGAGGCACGGUCCAGACUCCUACGGGAGGCAGCAGUGGGGAAUAUUGGACAAUGGGCGCAAACCUGAUCCAGCCAUACCGCGUGGGUGAAGAAGGCCUUCGGGUUGUAAAGCCCUUUUGUUGGGAAAGAAAAGCAGCAGGUUAAUACCCCGCUGUUCUGACGGUACCCAAAGAAUAAGCACCGGCUAACUUCGUG